This 895-nucleotide ribosomal RNA is filed under the name Ramulispora sorghicola. RNAcentral describes it as "LSU rRNA". It matches the Rfam family "Eukaryotic large subunit ribosomal RNA", at positions 38 to 961 of the family's 3401-position model. The record is from RNAcentral. Lineage: Eukaryota; Fungi; Ascomycota; Dothideomycetes; Mycosphaerellales; Mycosphaerellaceae.
GCAUAUCAAUAAGCGGAGGAAAAGAAACCAACAGGGAUUGCCCUAGUAACGGCGAGUGAAGCGGCAACAGCUCAAAUUUGAAAUCUGGCGCAAGCCCGAGUUGUAAUUUGUAGAGGAUGCUUCUGGGUAGCGACCGAUCUAAGUUCCUUGGAACAGGACGUCAUAGAGGGUGAGAAUCCCGUAUGUGACCGGCCCGCACCCUUUACGUAGCUCCUUCGACGAGUCGAGUUGUUUGGGAAUGCAGCUCUAAAUGGGAGGUAAAUUUCUUCUAAAGCUAAAUACCGGCCAGAGACCGAUAGCGCACAAGUAGAGUGAUCGAAAGAUGAAAAGUACUUUGGAAAGAGAGUUAAAAAGCACGUGAAAUUGUUGAAAGGGAAGCGCCUGCAACCAGACUUCGUGGCAGUGUUCCGCCGGUCUUCUGACCGGUUCAUUCUCUGUCGCGAGGCCAUCAUCGUCUGGGCCCGCCGGAUAAGACCUGAGGAAUGUAGCUCACCUUCGGGGGAGUGUUAUAGCCUCUGGUGAUGCGGCGAGGCUCGGGCGAGGUCCGCGCUUCGGCAAGGAUGAUGGCGUAAUGGUUGUCGGCGGCCCGUCUUGAAACACGGACCAAGGAGUCUAACAUCUAUGCGAGUGUUCGGGUGUCAAACCCCUACGCGUAAUGAAAGUGAACGGAGGUGGGAACCGCAAGGUGCACCAUCGACCGAUCCUGAUGUCCUCGGAUGGAUUUGAGUAAGAGCAUAGCUGUUGGGACCCGAAAGAUGGUGAACUAUGCCUGAAUAGGGUGAAGCCAGAGGAAACUCUGGUGGAGGCUCGCAGCGGUUCUGACGUGCAAAUCGAUCGUCAAAUUUGGGUAUAGGGGGCGAAAGACUAAUCGAACCAUCUAGUAGCUGGUUCCUGC